Corvus hawaiiensis (hawaiian crow) is the source of this 543-nucleotide long non-coding RNA. RefSeq lists it as uncharacterized. NCBI's taxonomy places the organism in Eukaryota, Metazoa, Chordata, Aves, Passeriformes, Corvidae. The record is from RefSeq and is a predicted model, not a curated record. The transcript is spliced from 2 exons.
AAAAAUAACCCUGAGCUCAGUGUUAUUUUGUUUGUGAUCAUCUCCCCGCCAACCCUGCUUAAGGAGAGCUCUUGAAGUCUGCAAUAUUUACAAGUUUAACAGACAAACGGAAAACAAAGCAUAAAAAUAUAAAGGUCUCAGAUGAAUUCCUGAAUGUUUUGAAGCAGAGAAUAUAGAAAACUCUUUGCCUGUGGAUUCCUCUGGGGCUUCCUGACCCAUCAGAGAAGAGCACAGAGCAGUUUUGCUUUGUGUUUAGAGUCGGUCAGGAUGACCUCAAGUAUGUAGGCAAUCUGAAGGGUGUUAACUGCAUGUUCACUAUGUUCUAUGCUUCCCACCACUGAUUAAUUUCCUCCCUCUUUUUUCUUUUUAGCUGAGACAGAUUUUACUAUGAUUGUGAAAGUCUGAAAAUGUAGCUGUGGCCCCAUAGGCUGUAAACAAACUCCAUUUCAUAAAAAAGACAAAAUUUUUUUCUCUAUUUGAUAUGCUUCUUGUUCCACAUCAGGAGUUUUAUUUCAUCUGGUCAUUCAAAUUACUGAGAGCUGC